This 473-nucleotide ribosomal RNA is filed under the name uncultured bacterium. RNAcentral's name for it is "bacterial SSU rRNA". It matches the Rfam family "Bacterial small subunit ribosomal RNA", at positions 335 to 799 of the family's 1533-position model. The record is from RNAcentral.
ACUCCUACGGAAGGCAGCAGUGGGGAAUAUUGCACAAUGGGGGAAACCCUGAUGCAGCCAUGCCGCGUGUGUGAAGAAGGCCUUCGGGUUGUAAAGCACUUUCAGUAGGGAGGAAGGUAGUGUAGUUAACACCUGCAUUAUUUGACGUUACCUACAGAAGAAGCACCGGCUAACUCCGUGCCAGCAGCCGCGGUAAUACGGAGGGUGCGAGCGUUAAUCGGAAUUACUGGGCGUAAAGCGCAUGCAGGCGGCCUGUUAAGUCAGAUGUGAAAGCCCGGGGCUUAACCUCGGAAUUGCAUUUGAAACUGGCAGGCUAGAGUCUUGUAGAGGGGGGUAGAAUUUCAGGUGUAGCGGUGAAAUGCGUAGAGAUCUGAAGGAUACCAGUGGCGAAGGCGGCCCCCUGGACAAAGACUGACGCUCAGAUGCGAAAGCGUGGGGAGCAAACAGGAUUAGAUACCCCUGGUAGCACAGAG